This 259-nucleotide long non-coding RNA is filed under the name Prunus persica (peach). RNAcentral describes it as "long non-coding RNA (PPER_LNC001817)". The record is from RNAcentral. Lineage: Eukaryota; Viridiplantae; Streptophyta; Magnoliopsida; Rosales; Rosaceae.
GAGGAGUGAAAUGGAAGGGGUUUGAAUCCCCUUUGUGUUUUUUUUUCCCUUUUUUCUUUUUUCCUCUUUUUUUCUUCCAUUACUUCGAUAUUUUCGAUAAUUUAGUGAUAUUUUAACAAAAUAUUACUUAAGUGUGAGCGAAAUUAUCGACAUCAAAUGAUGAAUCCCCAAAAUAGUUUUGCAUGUAAUUGUUAACAUGCCACUCAUAUGGAUCCGAGAUUGGUUGACGUUGUUCAUAAGCAAAAUCAUUUGAAGACUG